GGGGGAAGCUCAAUGGACGAGCAUGGACUGUCAAUCCAAGGUUGAGGGUUCGAGUCCCUCCCCCCA
Molecule: transfer RNA, 66 nt
Filed under: Candidatus Chazhemtobacterium aquaticus
Lineage: Bacteria; Candidatus Chazhemtobacteraceae
Description: tRNA-Asp
Rfam family: tRNA
About the family: Transfer RNA (tRNA) molecules are approximately 80 nucleotides in length. Their secondary structure includes four short double-helical elements and three loops (D, anti-codon, and T loops). Further hydrogen bonds mediate the characteristic L-shaped molecular structure. tRNAs have two regions of fundamental functional importance: the anti-codon, which is responsible for specific mRNA codon recognition, and the 3' end, to which the tRNAs corresponding amino acid is attached (by aminoacyl-tRNA synthetases). tRNAs cope with the degeneracy of the genetic code in two manners: having more than one tRNA (with a specific anti-codon) for a particular amino acid; and 'wobble' base-pairing, i.e. permitting non-standard base-pairing at the 3rd anti-codon position.
Source: RNAcentral